AUUAAAACAGGUUUGGCAUACUAGAGAAAACACCAGAAUAUGACAUUGCUGCAUAACAUAGAAGACCUUCUCUUGCUUUUAUGUACAUAUUUGUUGCAAAGAAGAAUAAGAAAGUGUUUAAGGAAUAUAUUAACUCCCCUACAGUUCCUUAAAAUGAAAGUAUGGGCUAUGAAUUAUGUACACCUCUCUGUAAGGACCAAAGCCUGACAAAAAAAAGAAACAGAAGAUUUGCAUUCAGAGACAUCUCUAUUUUAAUAGAGAAGGAUUUUACCCAAAAGUACGUGCUACUGUGUGACAGACAGCUGCUUGACUGGCAAGAGGGAAGCAGAUGACUACCUGAUGAUGGCCAAUUUUCCUGCAGCUCAGUUGGAGGGCUUCUAGUCCAAGCCAAGUUGUCUUGGCUCCCUCUAUAGUCCAAAUAAAGAAAAAGGCACUUCUGGAGAGCAGCUGUUCUCAUACCACACGUUUAUCUUUGGUGCACUGAUGCCUCUUGAUCCCCAGUGUGCUGCAGAGGGGACCUUGAUGAGCAUCUUAGACAAGAACUCAAGUAUUUGACAGUCAACACCAGGCUGUUGAACUAACUGUUACUAGGUUUUCAAACAUAAUGGAAAACAGUGGGAAGUAGAAUUUAAAUAGGACUUGAACAGCAAUUUUGCAAUUUUUCCAGCCCUAACAGAAACUUUAUAAGACUUCUAAAUGCCUCACACAUCCUGUCCUCCCAAGGUUCUGGAUGUUACUUGUGAGAUACCCUUGGACUAGGGUUGUGUCUUCUGCUCAUUGCUGUACAGAGCUAUCUUAUGGAGCAAGAGGAUAGCCAAAAUAUCCUGUGCUUUGUGUGUGAACUUACUAAAUGGCAUCCAAUUUAUCUACAGAGAACAUUUAAGCAAGCAGAAAAGUAUUUCCCAUUGUGUAUGCACAAUCAGACUGGUACACUGCACAGUUAGUUUCUGCUAUGAAUUCCAGAGAGUUCAAAAGGUAACAUUAGUUGCACCUAUGUGGUUUUGCUCAAGUAAAUGAGGACAUUUUCUCUGCACAGUGCCCACACUUUCGCUACUAGCAGCUACUUCUAGUUGUGCACAGCCAAGAGCCAUUUUCUUUCAAAAUAUGUUCCAUGAUCCCAAACUUUUCUGCGUGGACUUAUUUGGGAAAGAACAAAGCCAGCUGAUGCCCUGACUCUUGCUCCAGUCGAUGGGGGUACAUACAACCCUGUCUGGAGGAGUGAAGUCAGGUGAGUGCAAUCAGGAUACAUGCAGUUGGAAACCUUCCUGCCUUUCCUCCCAUCAGGUCUUUGUCACACUCUACUCUAAAUAAGAGCACAUGUUACUUAAGACAGUAAUGUGAACAUUUUGCAAGGCGAAUUGCUGCAGAUAUGUAAUGGCAGAAUGUGGAAGAGGAUAAGCAACAAAUGCUCUGCAUUGUCAGGCUCAUACCACAGAUUAUCUCCUAGAGAAUUACAUUACUCCACCUGGAUGCUAAUAAAUAUAUUCAAGUAAAUUCCACUAUAUUAGUAUGGCAUUUUUAGCUUAAAAAUGUAUUAAACUCAAUUCAUACAAAAGUAUUAGCAUUUCAAAACUAGACCUAUACAGAAAUAUUUUCCUUACCAAUUUCCUGAUCUGAGUCACUGCUUUUAAUUCAAGACAGCUGUUCCAUGACAGGACAGGACUCAACUGAGAUCCCAGUGAUGACUCCAUUGCCUUGGGUGUAGUAACGAAGACGUGGCCACUGCAGGGUUGUGGUCUGGUUUUUAAACAUAACAUGGCAAGUUAGUGAAACAUUAAAAUGCAAGAGAUCAUUAUAUUCAAGACUUUCUCUUCCCUGCUCCUUCUCCUAAGGGGAAAUCAGACACACAGGAUUGUAGACUUCUGCCAUCACUUGCCAUGGGUGGGUGCAGUUGGACACCAGCUUAAGACAGAAAGGACAAAGCUGAGGAUGAGCUGAAAGUGCUUGCACCAGCCCCACGGCUCCAUGCUCCUCCAGUGUGUUUUUGAGUAGCAUCAUGCUUCUGAGAAUAUGUUCCUUAGAGGACUUGGUGAAAAAGAAUAAGAGCAUGAUAAGCAAGACCAAAUAAAUAUUACAUAAACUUAUUUUCAUAAGUAAAUCUCAAGGUACUUUACAAUGGAAGGUCCAUCUUUUUUCCUUUAUGCAACACGAGAAACUGAGGCACAGAGAAAGUACAUAAAUAAAUAUAAAUUAUAAAUUCUUCAGAUUUUGUCUUGAACAGAAAUCAGAAUUUACAAUUCAUUGGUUAUUCUGAAAUAAAAAAUAAAAUAUAAAAUAUUGAAAGGGAGAAAAGUAAACUGGAACUUUGUUGUCAACAUUAGACAGGAAGCUAGAAAAUGUUGUCACUUUAACCCAGGGAAUGUCCUUCGUCAUUGUAUAUUACAGUGUUAAAAAGGUAUAAUCAGUAGUACGGAUUAAAAGUCAAAUAACAGUAAUUAUAAUGAUGGAAUAUAUCUUUUAUUGAAAUAUGUCAUAUUAAAAAGAAAUAAAAUGAACAGUGUAGGUUAUUCUCAAUUGGCAAUUUUGUUUAUACAAUCAAAUUUCUGCAAAAUUCUCCAACUAUGAAAACAAACUUUUUUUUUUAAUGGAAAAGGGUUUAGUUUAUCUUAAGACUUGAUGUGGUGACAUUAUGUUGGCUGUGUUUUAUGCUGUGGAUUUACUGUCAUACCCAGUGACGUCAGCACAGACCACGUCAUUAAGUUAGGGGUUCACCACUUCAACCAAGUGUUUAGCUUUCUGGGUUGAAGGUUUGGAGAAAUUUAUUUGUGGGAUGAAUGGAGAUUUAGGCUGUUGAAGCAUAAGUGUUGUUUAGAAAAUAUGUGCUAUUUACAUUGUGCACAAAACUAUAUGAGACACAGAUAUAAGAAUGUAUUACUAUGUAUAUAUCUAGUAUAAACACACCAUGAUUAAAUAUCAUUUGUUCUGUAAUUAUCAAUUGAGAAAAUAAAUUGUAAGACAAAAGCAUUGGUAAUGAUUGAACACAGACAGUUUAAUCAAGCAGCAACUUUUGAAGAAGUAAUUUUGUCCUAAAAGUCAAAAGUAAGUAAAGCCAUAAUUGAACUUAAACUGCUGAAGUUCAAAUUAAAGCACAUAUUCACCAUCAAUGACUGUGCCUAAAGACACAGGCAGUGAUACAGAGGCAGAAGUGAGAAGCACAGCUGGUUCAAGCACAGCUGGCACCUCCCUGGGAAAGUGCCAAUAAUCCCUCUGACACAUGCAAGGCUCCCAGUGCUGGAGAAAACCAAGAAUACAGGGCUAAAAUUUGGCAGCUACUUAUCAGCAUGUGAUUUAGUGACAUAAGAUAGCUAAGUACAUAAUUACCUAUAUAUAUAUUUUUUAAUUCUCAAAAUACUGCUGGUGCACAGGAGUUCUCAAUGGGAAUCAGGAAGAAAUCUGGGAGACUUUCCAAGUGCAGGAUUGGAAGGCUUACAUAGUCACAAUUAUGAUUUUAGAAAAACAGACCACAAAUAUGUCACGCAGACUGGAGAGUGUGAUGUAUAGAUAAACACAUACACACUGCAUUGAUUGUAUUUUGUAACAAAAGGGAUGAAGACCAGCAUGUGUGUCUUUGACAGGAUAGCUCAAACAAAAAUCACAUGUACAGCAAACAUUCCCCAUAAUUCUUGAAAUUAGGCAAAAGUGUGUUAAAACUCCAAGUUGCACAAGGACUUAAAAUGCUUGUAUGCAGUUUGGGAAAUGACUGAAGGAAAAUAGAAAGUGUCUGUGACAAGAAAGCAAAAAGACAGCUUUGAGAUGAUGGUAACAUAUUUUUAGAGCAUAAGUAAGUUCUCUUAAAAUCAGUUCUCUCUAUGCUUGUUCAUUACUCCUAGUCAUAUUACUAGAAAUUCCUUCAACGUACCUGGGAGCACAAAUUAACAUAAUAUUAGCAAUGAAUCUACUGACAUAUUUCAAGUACUUGGACUACUGUGAACUGAGAGAUUGAGUCAAUUUUAAGAGAUCACUUAAAAUCAACUUCAGUACAUUGUUUCUCCUGGUGUGAAGUAAUGUGGUUAUGUGGUCUCACUCAACAAAGUCGUGCCUGCGUGGAGCAGCUGGUGUGCCUGAUCUUCACGUGUGGUCUCCCCUUGAUUUUGCUGGAUUCAGGAUCAUCUGCAGAGAGCAUAUGUAUCUGGAUAAUGGAUUUGCCUCACUGAAACUGCAGCCUUCAAGACAGACCAGCAGCUCAGCAGUGCACCUGGAUACUUUAGCAGGAAAUGAAGCUGUUUGGAAUACAAAGGAAAAAAAAAUCUGCAUGGGUCAUGUUUUUCGUAUGAAAAUAAUUAGAUAUUGUAGAUAUUCCUUCCCCUCUCUGGAUGAUUCUCACAGAUCAAUGAGUGGAGGCUGUCCUGAGUGGUCCAGUUUGUUUUCAAUUCAUUUAUACAUAUUUAAUAAGUACUUUGUAAAACCUGUUCACAUCUUUCCUUAAUCACAGAUCUUACAUAAACUCUGUUAUCAAUACUGGAUACUUCCAAAGGAGAGCUAAAACGAGAGAGAGUCUGUUUCAGAAAAGCACUGAAUGCAAACAUACAAAUCACACAGAUGGGCUUACUGCUGACAAACAGACAAAAAUCAAAAAUUAAAUGUCCACAUUCCUUAUCAAGAAAAGGAAACAAACAAAUAAAAGAUCAGAAGAAGGGAUCAUUCAGUAUUUUUUCCCAAUAUUAUAUGAAUAGUCUAUUUGUAAGCCUGGAGAGUGAUGUGUUUAAACUGGAAGCAUAAAUGUAUAUUUCAAUACAAAAGCACAAGAACAUCUGUAUUUCUAACUGUUUAUGUCACAAUUUGCACAUAUUUUCUUAUGUCUUCCAACCAAAAUUUAUUCUACCUAUUUUUUUUAAUAAUAAGUUUCUAAGAAUAGGUAUAUUAAAUAAAAGAAAUUAUGUGUGGGAUGCAAAUUCUCAUUAUAAAAAUGUUUCUAUCCCUCUGGCUUUAGAGAUAACUUACCAAACAUAAAUUGCUUCAGUAAUAAGGUUUCAUGAAUAUAUUACAUAUCCCUGCAUAAAUUUGUGGGGAGCACUUUUUGUCUGAAGCAUAGAAAACAUUCCACAAUAAAUACAAAUGUUCAUACCUACUUUAAAAACAAAAAAAAUAUAUAUUUUUUUACAUUUACGAAGCUUUUUUGCCUCAGAUAUGUUUUCAUGUUGUCCUUGUUUUCUACAGCUCCCAAACUCAUCUUUAAAUUAAAAUAAUUAAACAUAAGCUCUGUAUUUCCCUGUGCUAUUGUGAAUUAGCUCCCCAGAUGGGGUAGUUCUGUCUGGACAAGCACAGUAACAUUGACUGUCCCUUAUAGGUCCUGAGGCACAAAUACAAUCUAACUUCAUUUCUCCUGGCACCAUUUGUAGCUAAAUGGCAGACCUGAAACUCAAAAUAUUAACAAUAGAAUUACAUUCUUGUCAAUGUGGCAUGGAGAUGGAGUGGAAGUGCAGGGGCACUCAUGUAAUAAGCUGUGAGUUUCCCCACAUGGAAACUUUGCUCUUCAUCAGUUUUCCAAAUACAAAAGUAGAGGGAAAAAAAAAACAAAAAACAAAAAACAAAAAACUGUAAUAGAAUUACAAAGAACUUGGUGAUAGAAAGAAGGAGGAGUUCACUAUAAAAAGAAAUAAUAAGGAUCCUGAUUUAGACUCUCUGAAUCAAGUAAUGGCUGCAUAGAAAUCCAUGGUAACUCUUCCACUGUCUCAUGUGGGGCCUUGUUUAAUCUUCUACAGCCAUGAAUAUCCUAUAGCAAAUAUUUUUGCCAGUGAGGAGAGAAAGAAAAGAUAAGCAAUACUGCAGAGAAAAAACCAACAGUCCAAGCAUUCCUAGUAUGCAUAGUAAAAGAAUUAGUAAUACUAGAUCCUCCAGAAUUUAAUGAAAUCCUGCAUUUUUCUUUCAAAAUAUAGUAAACUCACGUGUUGAUAAGUGUAGUUAAAGCAUUUCUUACUUCAUUAUUUUGUAAAGAAUUGCACGAUGACAUCACCUAAAGACACAGCACUUCUCAGGGAUUUUGUGCAGAAUCUUAACCUUUACACUAGCAACAUAAUUUAAGAAAGUGUCCUAUGUAAAUCCUUGAAUCUCCUAGGGUCUAGGAGUGAAACAUAAUGCUAAUUUGAUUUAGUAAUUUGUUCUUUCUCCCCAGAAACACACAAUUACCACUCUCAAAAGACUUUUUUUCUUUUUUUUUUUUUUUCUUUUUCCAUCAUGCUUGGACUAAAUUGAAAGUUGAGUCGGUAGCAAAGCCCAGGCUGGGAAUGUAGCAGACCCCUGCUACCCCGUCUGUAACAAGCCAG
RNAcentral lists this long non-coding RNA (6263 nucleotides) under Gallus gallus (chicken). The record is from RNAcentral. Lineage: Eukaryota; Metazoa; Chordata; Aves; Galliformes; Phasianidae.